GCCUUGGUGGCUCAGCCUGGUAGAGCGUCUGCUUGGUAAGCAGAAGGUCGCGGGUUCAAAUCCCGCCCAAGGCUCCA
This 77-nucleotide transfer RNA is filed under the name Methanothermococcus okinawensis. RNAcentral describes it as "tRNA-Thr". It matches the Rfam family "tRNA". Rfam says of the family: Transfer RNA (tRNA) molecules are approximately 80 nucleotides in length. Their secondary structure includes four short double-helical elements and three loops (D, anti-codon, and T loops). RNAcentral also lists the same sequence under 1 other name. The record is from RNAcentral. Lineage: Archaea; Methanobacteriati; Methanobacteriota; Methanococci; Methanococcales; Methanococcaceae.